GUGCUCGCUUCAGCAGCACAUAUACUAAAAUUGGAAUGAUACAGAGAAGAUUAAAAUGGCCCCUGCAUAAGAAUGACAUGCACAUUCAUGAAGUGUUUCAUAUUUUU
This 107-nucleotide small nuclear RNA is filed under the name Dasypus novemcinctus (nine-banded armadillo). The record is from RNAcentral. Lineage: Eukaryota; Metazoa; Chordata; Mammalia; Cingulata; Dasypodidae.